Molecule: non-coding RNA, 297 nt
Organism: Vicia faba (fava bean)
Lineage: Eukaryota; Viridiplantae; Streptophyta; Magnoliopsida; Fabales; Fabaceae
Source: the annotation of a GenBank genome assembly
AUGCUCGUUUGUCCCCUUCAUCUUCAACAUGUUUGCUCCUUUCCUUCUUCCCCGUCAUUAUGUCUACUCAUUUCCUUAUUCCCCGUCAUUUUUUUCGAUUUCAUUUUCAUCGUCUUCAUCCUUCAUAUUCCUCAAUCAUCAAUCAAAAUCUCAAAAAGUUCAAAGUCAAACAUGUCUUUAAAUGGAAGAAUCACUCCAAAAUAUGGACAUAAUAUUUCUAUGAAGAUGUUUGUUUCAAAGCCUUAUGAAAAUCCGGAGAGAAAAUACUGGAAAUACAAGUAUAAGGGUACAAAAUAA